Molecule: ribosomal RNA, 449 nt
Filed under: uncultured bacterium
Lineage: Bacteria
Description: bacterial SSU rRNA
Rfam family: Bacterial small subunit ribosomal RNA
Source: RNAcentral
UCAAGAAACUUCCACAAUGGGCGAAAGCCUGAUGGAGCGACGUCGCGUGAUGGACGAAGUGCUUCGGCACGUAAACAUCUUUAUGUGGGAUGAAAUUAUUGACAGUACCACAUGAAUAAGGGGCUCCUAACUCUGUGCCAGCAGGAGCGGUAAUACAGAGGCCCCAAGCGUUAUCCGGAAUCACUGGGCGUAAAGGGUGUCGAGGCGGUUGUAUUAGUCGUUCGUAAAAUCUACGAGCUUGACUUGUAGGCGGCGAACGAAACGGUACGACUUGAGGUUUGGAGAGGUGCGUGGAACUCACGGUGUAGGGGUGAAAUCCGUUGAUAUCGUGGGGAACACCAAAGGCGAAGGCAGCGCACUGGCCAAAAUCUGACGCUCACACACGAAAGCUAGGGUAGCGAAGAGGAUUAGAUACCCAGGUAGUCCCUGAGCGGGCUGGCAAGGCGCAU